UACGGAGGGUGCGAGCGUUGUUCGGAAUUAUUGGGCGUAAAGCGCACGUAGGCGGCUCUGUAAGUCUCGCUGUGAAAGCCCGGGGCUCAACCCCGGGAGGCCAGGGGAUACUGCGGAGCUGGAGACAGGCAGAGGCUGGUGGAAUUCCGGGUGUAGCGGUGGAAUGCGUAGAGAUCCGGAGGAACAUCUGAGGCGAAGGCGGCCAGCUGGGCCUGAUCUGACGCUGAGGUGCGAAAGCGUGGGGAGCGAACAGG
RNAcentral lists this ribosomal RNA (254 nucleotides) under uncultured bacterium. RNAcentral's name for it is "partial 16S ribosomal RNA". It matches the Rfam family "Bacterial small subunit ribosomal RNA", at positions 524 to 776 of the family's 1533-position model. The record is from RNAcentral.